UACGGGGGGAGCAAGCGUUGUUCGGAUUUACUGGGCGUAAAGGGCGCGUAGGCGGCCACCGCAAGUCAAUUGUGAAAUCUCCGGGCUCAACCCGGAACGGUCAACUGAUACUGCGGGGCUAGAGUGCAGAAGGGGCAACUGGAAUUCUCGGUGUAGCGGUGAAAUGCGUAGAUAUCGAGGGGAACACCUGCGGCGAAGGCGGGUUGCUGGGCUGACACUGACGCUGACAGCGCGAAAGCUAGGGGAGCGAACGGG
This 255-nucleotide ribosomal RNA is filed under the name uncultured bacterium. RNAcentral's name for it is "partial 16S ribosomal RNA". It matches the Rfam family "Bacterial small subunit ribosomal RNA", at positions 524 to 776 of the family's 1533-position model. The record is from RNAcentral.